RNAcentral lists this long non-coding RNA (1249 nucleotides) under Macaca mulatta (Rhesus monkey). RNAcentral's name for it is "lncRNA (ENSMMUG00000062206.1)". Lineage: Eukaryota; Metazoa; Chordata; Mammalia; Primates; Cercopithecidae. The record is from RNAcentral.
AGCCUGAAAUGGCGCAUGUCCCCGCGGGUCAGCUGGCCUGGAGAAAACAACACGCCCUCAACGUGACAGUCCCCACAUUCUGCAGACUUAAAAGGGAAAUCCUUUGGAUUCUGCCUGGACUCCUGGGGCUCCGCCCUGGCCUUGCCCUGGGGCUGCAAAGGGGAAUAAAAUAUGGGAAGGAUUGUGUGUAGCUGCGAUGGAUUCUUCAACUGAUCAGAGGUGGUUUCCUGCCUGCGAGGAGAUGCAGAGGAAGGCCAGCAGAGGGCAAAGAGCCCGAGAGCCGGGAUCAGGAGACAGGAACGUGUUGGCGUGUGGCUAUGGGCAAACCAUAGAGACUGUCUCUGGUCAUCCAUGUUCCCCACUGUUGGUGAGGCUGGGUCACCCAGGCCAGAACUCCAGUGCCAUGGGGUGUGCCAGUGUUGGUGCUGUGGUGGAUGCAAAGAAUGGGACUCUGCCCUGGCUUGUGCACACCUACGGAGUAACAAAAUCUUCAUGUCUCUCUCUAAUACAUGCACACAUAUUCAGGUAGCUAGGUAGACAGAGAGAUAGAUAGAUAUGUAGCUAGAUUAGAUAGAUGAUGGAUGGAUAGAUAGAUAGAUGAUAGAUAGAUAGAUAGAUAGAUAGGUAGAUAGAUAGAUGAUAGAUAGAUAGAUAGAUAGAUAGAUAGAUAGAUAAUAGAAAAAAUGUGUCAGAAUAAAAACAAUCCUAUAGGCCAAUAAGGACUCAGUCAAAAUCUUACAGGGUCACUGAAUCAGAAUCAUUCUUCCCCUUAACUUACUUUCAUGACUCUCUGCAAUCAGGUGUAUCUGUCCACCCCGUUUUUUUCACAAUUGAGUGAAAUGAGGAAGUAGUGUAAGGCUGGUUUUUCUUUUGCUGCCACAAAGGUCUACAUAGCUGCUGGUUCCUGUUCACAGUGAAAAUGGUCCUAACCAGAUGAAUGAGGGACACAAGAGACAUAACACAAAUCAGAGAAGUUAAAACCAAGCUUAUUCCUAAAUGCAGCUAAACCUAAGCAGAGCUCAUGCCUGCCUGCUGAAGCCCCAAGUCUUCUACGUUGAUAAAGGGUGCUCCCUCCAUUUUCUCUGCUCCUGCCUCCCCCAUCUUUUUUCAAACACCGUGGCUGAUUUAUCUAAGCCCUAUGCUGCCUCGCAGUAUUUUGAAAACAAAUUAGAAAGCUCCUUCCAGUUUUCCAGAGGUGAUUAAAUCCAAGAAGCCUUAGGAAUGUAGAGGAUAGAAUAAUAUAAACAAC